Molecule: ribosomal RNA, 466 nt
Filed under: uncultured bacterium
Lineage: Bacteria
Description: partial 16S ribosomal RNA
Rfam family: Bacterial small subunit ribosomal RNA
Source: RNAcentral
GACGAACGCUGGCGGCGCGCCUAACACAUGCAAGUCGAACGGGCGAGAGAGAGCUUGCUUUCUUGAGCGAGUGGCGAACGGGUGAGUAACGCGUGAGGAACCUGCCUCAAAGAGGGGGACAACAGUUGGAAACGACUGCUAAUACCGCAUAAGCCCACGACCCGGCAUCGGGUUGAGGGAAAAGGAGCAAUCCGCUUUGAGAUGGCCUCGCGUCCGAUUAGCUAGUUGGUGAGGUAACGGCCCACCAAGGCGACGAUCGGUAGCCGGACUGAGAGGUUGAACGGCCACAUUGGGACUGAGACACGGCCCAGACUCCUACGGGAGGCAGCAGUGGGGAAUAUUGCACAAUGGGGGAAACCCUGAUGCAGCGACGCCGCGUGGAGGAAGAAGGUCUUCGGAUUGUAAACUCCUGUUGUUGAGGAAGAUAAUGACGGUACUCAACAAGGAAGUGACGGCUAACUACGUG